CAACGUCCUGUGCUGAUGUGAUUUCCUCGGCAAGUCAGGAACGGACUCAAAUAUCUUUCUGAUACCUUUUUUUUAAAUGCUUGCCUCAUCAAAUUUCCAAAGAAUUCCAAAGAACUUUCACUCAUUUCAAACACUUUCCAUCCCCUUUGACUCCUCAGCGAACACGGGGUUUUUGGCACCUCUCGGCGCGAGGAGUGAGGCAGAAGCUCGUUCCCCCCUCGCUCCCCGCGCGGCCCGGCGGAGGUCAGCACGCCGCUGUCCCCUGGCUGGGGCAGAAGCCCCCGGCCCGGCAGGCAGCUCGGCGCUCACCCUGUGGAAGUCAGAGGCGCCUGGGGUCGCUCGGCCCGCGCCGUCCUCCCGCGAGGCGCCUCGUACGAGGCUGGAAGCAAAUCCGUCUCCGCUUUAUAUCGGGAGUUAAUUCGACUCCUAGCCUGAAACUGGCUCGAAAUGCGCAUCAGCGCUCAAAUGCGAGCGGCAGCCCUUGGGGAAGGAACGCCACCCGCUCCACACGCACAGCGGGGCGGGCAGGAGCCGUGACAUCCCGGAGCAGCCGGCGCUUCCCUCCGCUGCAUUCCCGAGGCGCUGCGGGAGGUUCGGGCGCUUCUCGCCGCGCCAGGCCCCGUCCCGCCGGUGAGCGCAGGGGCAGAUCGCUCGGCACGGGGCACGGCCGAGGGGCGGAGGUGGCCGAGCGGGGCACCCGCCCGCUGCGCUCUACUUACGCGUUGCGGGAGCGGCGCUAUUGGGAGCGGCAAAAGCUCGGCUCGUUCGGGGCUGACAGCACCACAAGCUGUGCUUCACCGGCUGCAGUUAACGCUCUCACACCAGGCCAGAUCAUUCCAUAGGUCGAAAGGAAGCAGCACUACAUCACAGUGCCUUGCAUUAUUUCAAGAGGCCCCUCACGUUCUACAAAUGUCUUCAGGUUUUCACGGAACCACAGAGUCAUAGGGAUGGAAGGCAAUCUCCGGAGAUCCUCCGGUCCAACCCCCUGCCAGAGCAGGAUCCCUACAGCAGGUCACAAAGGAGAGUGCCCAGAUGGGUCUUGAGUAUCCCCAUAGGAGACUCCACAGCCCCUCAGGGCAGCCUGUUCCAGUGCUCUGUCACUCUCACAGUAAAGAAGUUCUUUCUCCUGUUUGUAUGGAACUGCCCCAGUUUUUGCCCAUUGCUGGGCAAAAUGAGCGCCUGUACCCCUGACUGAGAAUCUAUACCCUUGAUUGAGUCUGUGCUAGGAAUUAAAGGCAUUAUGAGCAAUAUUUUGAGAAGUGUUUUCUCUCAGACAAGAAUAUCUGUCAUGCUGCCGUGCACAUGGCAUUUGAAGAGCUUGAUUUAUUGCAGCAAUGCUCAGAAUAGUCCAGAUAAUUUGCAGGUGCAUAUUUUCAGCAUUGAUACUCAAAAACAUUACCAUCCUCUACAUUUUGGUUCAGCUUUUGCAUGUUCUUGAUUAUUAUCCCAAGAAAAGAAAACAUUAGGCAGAAUGACUUUAUUGGCAUUUAUAUAUGUUUCAGUUGGUAGCUACUCUACAGUCAGAGAGCUGAAAACUCAACUACAGAAGGUCAUAACAAAAAACUUCAGCCCAGAGGAGAGAAGGCUCUGGGGAUACCUGAUAGUGGCCUUCCAGUAUCUAAAAUGGGACUAUAAGAAAGAAGGGGACGGACUCACCUGCUGUCACAGGACAAGGGGAAAUGGUUUCAAACUGAAAGAGGAGAGAUGUAGAGGCAAAAAGGUUUUUUAUGAUAAGGAUAGUGAAGCCUUUUGACAGAUUGCCUGGAGAUGUGGUGGAUGCCCUGUCACUGGAAACAUUCAAGAUCAGGCUAGAUUGGGCUCUGUGCAACCUGUUGGAGCUACAGGUGUCUCUGUUCAGUGCAGAGAAGUUGGACUACGUGGCCUUUAAAGGUCCCUUCCAACUCAAACGAUCCCAUGAUUCUUUGAUUCUGUUCAAGAAAAAGAUUUGAGACACUGAAUAGCCGUGUGUAGCAGAGGACUAGUGGCAAAUGGAAACAGAGGAUCCAGAUCUUUGCAAUACUUGGUUUCUCCCUCUUAAAUCUUUCAUCUGGAAACACUAGAAAGAUCUCUGCUGACCUAAGCAGUAGUAGUGGCACAAGGACAAAUGACUAUCAGCAGAGAUGAGUGAUACACAGCGCUGCCAUGACUGUAAAGGAAGUAGUAUUGCAGUGUUGAUUCUGGAGCAGUGGGGCAUGAGUGCAAAAGAGGAAAUCCCAGCAGUCCAUGUCAAUCACAGCACUCCAUGAAGCCCCUCAGCUGAAAGACUUGAUCCUAGGAAUAGAAAGAGAAAGAUAUCACUUAGAAUCAUCUGUCCAAAAGGUUUAAUUGCAUGAAUCACUGGGUUUCCACAACAAAACCCACAACAAUACUGCUUUUCCAGUACCGUGAAGAUUUUAAGAAGUAUUUCCCACUUGCUGUAUAGACUAGCCUUAAAACUCUUUUGUUAGAAAAAUACUCUUGAUCAGAAGAGCAGUGAUGUUCUAGAGGAGCCUUUCAGUACUGACCCAGAAGGUUUUUAAGAUAGAAUCCAAUAUAUCUUCAAACAGGGAUAAUCUGAUGCAGUGGCUGCCCACAGCAGGACUACAUCCAUCCACUAAUAAAUUCCAUCCACUAAUAAAUUCCA
This 2623-nucleotide long non-coding RNA is filed under the name Phasianus colchicus (ring-necked pheasant). Its description in RNAcentral is "lncRNA (ENSPCLG00000021353.1)". The record is from RNAcentral. Lineage: Eukaryota; Metazoa; Chordata; Aves; Galliformes; Phasianidae.